GCCACGGCCAUACCAGCCUGGGUACGCCCGAUCUCGUCUGAUCUCGGAAGCUAAGUAGGGUCGGGCCUGGUUAGUACUUGGAUGGGAGACCGCCUGGGAAUACCAGGUGCUGUAAGCA
This 118-nucleotide ribosomal RNA is filed under the name Salmo salar (Atlantic salmon). The record is from RNAcentral. Lineage: Eukaryota; Metazoa; Chordata; Actinopteri; Salmoniformes; Salmonidae.